Molecule: long non-coding RNA, 683 nt
Organism: Anguilla rostrata (American eel)
Lineage: Eukaryota; Metazoa; Chordata; Actinopteri; Anguilliformes; Anguillidae
Exons: 2
Source: RefSeq, a predicted model, not a curated record
UCGGUUGCGACCCACCAAACGGUGUGAGAGGUUAUUUCAUCAGAAGAAUGUGUGAAUAAAAAUUGGGGUGGUUGGCAGUGUGGGGUGGGGGGCGAGUAGUGAAGUGGACCAGGACCCCUUGUAAAAAACGAGUGAUAAAUUAUUAACAUAACUGUUUGAAGUGUGCCAUGUUGCAAGGGUUCGCAAACUUUAAUCUCAGGGCCGCUUAACAACGCUCAGCUGGGUUUGUACAGUAUCAGCUCUUACUGCCAAUACACCGAUAGAGCAGUAUGGACUUUGGGCAGUAUGUUCAUUUUAUAUAAAAGUCCAAAAUAUGUCAUUCAUAAAAUCACAGUACACAGAUGUUAGGACCCCUGGUGUAUUGUGCGGGGUUGCAGGUGUAGACGGUGCAUCUAAGACGGUUUUACCUGUACGAGGCUGUUGUUUUAUCUCUUUCUCCUUGUGGACACUGGGCUGGUGCACUCCUCUCUGCAUGUCUAUCACGCAUUGGUCUUCUUCAUGCAGAAGCUUUGCAGGAGAUGUGUCCAAAGCAGCGAUUAUUCCCGAUUUAUUUUUUCGUUCUGGGAAGUCGAACAAAAACAUUUUGAAAAGAUGGAAGCUCACUUGCUGUAUUUGCGAGGGUGUAGUUUCCUAAGGACAGGGGCUGACUCAGCUGCUGGAAAUAAAUUGUUUUUGUGAAUAUA